Molecule: unclassified non-coding RNA, 344 nt
Filed under: soil metagenome
Description: partial contains 5.8S ribosomal RNA, internal transcribed spacer 2, and large subunit ribosomal RNA
Rfam family: 5.8S ribosomal RNA (bases 1-120)
Source: RNAcentral
GAUGAAGAACGCAGUGAAAUGCGAUAAGUAAUGUGAAUUGCAGAAUUCAGUGAAUCAUCGAAUCUUUGAACGCACAUUGCGCCCGCCAGUAUUCUGGCGGGCAUGCCUGUUCGAGCGUCAUUUCAACCCUCAGGGCCCUUUUGGACCUGGCGUUGGGGCUCGGCCGCUACCCUGCGGCCGUCCCCGAAAGAUAGUGGCGGUCUCGCUGUAGCCUCCUCUGCGUAGUAGUUACAUCUCGCACUGGAACGCGGCGCGGCCAUGCCGUUAAACACCCCACUUCUCAAGGUUGACCUCGGAUCAGGUAGGAAUACCCGCUGAACUUAAGCAUAUCAAUAAGCGGAGGA